AGGACGAACGCUGGCGGCGUGCUUAACACAUGCAAGUCGAGCGGUAGAGAGGUGCUUGCAUCUCUUGGGAGCGGCGGACGGGUGAGUAAUGCCUAGGAAUCUGCCUAGUGGUGGGGGAUAACGUUCGGAAACGGACGCUAAUACCGCAUACGUCCUACGGGAGAAAGCGGGGGACCUUCGGGCCUCGCGCCAUUAGAUGAGCCUAGGUCGGAUUAGCUAGUUGGUGAGGUAAUGGCUCACCAAGGCGACGAUCCGUAACUGGUCUGAGAGGAUGAUCAGUCACACUGGAACUGAGACACGGUCCAGGACUCCUACGGGAGGCAGCAGUGGGGAAUAUUGGACAAUGGGACGAAAGCCUGAUCCAGCCAUCGCCGCGUGUGUGAAGAAGGUCGUUCGGAUUAGUAAAGCUAACGUUUUAAGGUGGGAAGGUAAGGUUUGUAAACGUUUAA
This 449-nucleotide ribosomal RNA is filed under the name uncultured soil bacterium. RNAcentral's name for it is "bacterial SSU rRNA". It matches the Rfam family "Bacterial small subunit ribosomal RNA", at positions 26 to 466 of the family's 1533-position model. The record is from RNAcentral.